GAUUAACGCUAGCGGCAGGCCUAAUACAUGCAAGUCGAACGGGAUUCAAAGUAGCAAUAUUUUGAUGAGAGUGGCGCACGGGUGAGUAACACGUAUGCAAUUUACCUUUAACUGGGGGAUAGCCCUCCGAAAGGAGGAUUAAUACCGCAUAAUAUAUUGAAAUGGCAUCAUUUUAAUAUUAAACCUACGGGGGUUAAAGAUGAGCAUGCAUCCGAUUAGCUAGUUGGUGUGGUAACGGCUCACCAAGGCAACGAUCGGUAGGGGGUCUGAGAGGAUGAUCCCCCACACUGGUACUGAGACACGGACCAGACUCCUACGGGAGGCAGCAGUAAGGAAUAUUGGACAAUGGAGGCAACUCUGAUCCAGCCAUGCCGCGUGAAGGAUUAAGGCCCUAUGGGUUGUAAACUUCUUUUAGACGGGACAAAACCCCUUUACGUGUAAAGGGUUGAUGGUACUGUCAGAAUAAGCAUCGGCUAACUUCGUGCCAGCAGCCGCGGUAAUGUGACG
Molecule: ribosomal RNA, 507 nt
Filed under: uncultured bacterium
Lineage: Bacteria
Description: bacterial SSU rRNA
Rfam family: Bacterial small subunit ribosomal RNA
Source: RNAcentral